Molecule: long non-coding RNA, 2883 nt
Filed under: Triticum aestivum (bread wheat)
Lineage: Eukaryota; Viridiplantae; Streptophyta; Magnoliopsida; Poales; Poaceae
Description: long non-coding RNA (TAES_LNC001441)
Source: RNAcentral
UUGGGAGCAAAGGUAUACAUGUGUGGAAGCCAUCCUUUGCAUAAUUUUAUUCCAAAUAUAUAUACUUUCUCCUCUUAACUGGGGGAUAUUUCAAAAAGGGAGGAUCUCGUGUGUAAGAAUUGGUUGACCCUGCAUUUUACUAUUCAUUAUUAUUUAUACACCCCGAAUGUAAAGUGUCACCAUGUGUGAAUUUAUAAUCAGCCGUAGUAAUCUUGAUAUAGAUAUACACACACACUGAAGUCUGAAAACAAGCUAGUAAAACUACUUGCUUUGAAAGCAACACUACAUUUUAUAUUGAGUGGUACUGCCAUUGCCUCACCUUUGAUUGCUAUAUGAACCAUGCUAUUAUUGAGACAAUGGAGUGGGAUGUCAAUGCCAUUGGUUGAGUGCAAAUAUUUAGUUUUUGUAUUUAAAUUAUGAGUGAAAGGGUGAGACAGAGUUUGUUACUGCAUUUACGCCAUUUAGUUUGUUCAAAUAUUUGCUUGGAGCUAUGUAAGUUUACAUCGGUGCCAUAAAUUAUGCUUCAACUUUCAUACCAUCGGAUACAUAAUAGUUUCUGUAUAAUUUUCAACUUUAUAAGCAAUUCAGCAGCUACAUUGUUACAGGAAAUUAGAUACUCUGAGAAGCUUCUGCAAGAUCUAGAUAUCAUUUGUUCUCUAUCGCUCGAGCCUUUGUGUUUGACACUAACAAAAAUAUAAAACGCGGGUGUGCCAGUGUCCACGCCAGCAUCAAAAGAUGCAUGCCGGCCGGUGGCACAAAUACCCGAAUACGUAUGUGUACAUAAGCAGGUAUUCAGCCAUGUAUAUAUAUAUAUAUAUAUAUAUAUAUAUAUAUAUAUAUAUAUAUAUAUACAGGCUGAUGCAUGCGUCACUGCUUUACAAAAAAACCGUAUUGAUCCGUGCAUUUUGGUCCUUGUAAGACUAGGCUGGUGAAUCAUCUGACCGUGACAUCCCCACUAAUGCAUCGCUUUAAUCAAUCCACUAACUUAUACACGCACGUCUUGCCUCUACGUACAUCUGCAUGGCAUUUUUUUUAGUUGUGCAUGGCAUAAUAUUUAAAUCUGUAUGGGCACUCCUUGCUCCAUAGAUAUGUUCUCAAGCUUCUCCCAAGCUUGUUAGGAAAAGAGAAUAUUGGGACAAAAUAUUUUCGUACUAUUUCUAGUAUGAAUUCUCAUCGAACACUGUGCUUGUGAAUGUGCUUCAGUUCAAUGGAUAACUCCAAAAACCUGUACCUAAUUUGAUCCUGAUAGCAUUUUCUUCAGGUGGUAACACUUGUCUCAGUUAUUACAGUAACUUUGUCAAUGUAGAGUUGUUUUGCAGUUUGCACUAUUAGAAGUAUCUCCUAGAUAAAAAAUAUUCUAUAACCAAACAUGAUUAAUACAUGUGUUGUGUUUGAUAUAGAUUUGUAGCUUAUAUCAUUUAUAUAAUACAUCAGUUUUUCAAUUGUAUAUUUAUAUGGGUUGUUCAUUAACUAAGGCCCUAUUCGGAUCCCCUCCGCUCCCCUACUGCAGCUCCCGGAGCGGAGGGAGUGCCAGCACAAUCGCGCGGAGCAGUUCGAACCCGGCUCCUCGCGCGGAGCGGAGUUGAGAAUCUAGAAGCUUCCGAACAGGCAGUAACUUUUGCACAAAUUUGGUUACGAGUCAUUGCUUUUUGCACAAAUUUGGUCAUGGGGUAAUCAAUCCAGAAUCUCAACAUUCUAGCAUUUUGCACAAAUUUGUGAAGUUCGACUUCUUAGUGUCAUGGCUCACAACUAAAUGUUCCAGGAUUAUUAUAUUGCAGAACUCAGAUGUGAAAAUCAAACUACUUUUGCUUGAUCCUAUUGAGUAUGAACAUGAAACAAUGCUUGCCUGUGCUGUCAGCUACUGUUCCUAAUUCACCACACAUUGUGCUAUCUUUCAUUCAAUUAAAUGUAUAACCUUGCUUUUCAUUUGAUUCGUACAACAACUGCAUCUUGCUUCCAGAAUUUCUUCAUGGUCCUGUGUAAUCUAUCUCUCAUAAUUAUAUACACAUUAUGCCUGAACCUGUGUUGUUUGUGUGAAAGGAAACAUCUCUAGUAUUUUCAAAUGUUUAUACAUAGCUUGAACUAUAUUGGAAGGUAUCAAUGUUUGUGAAUUAAUACUCAAGCCACAAUAAUAUUGGUAUAGAUAUAUAUGUGAAGCUUGAAAAUACGCCAGUAGGAAUACAUGUCAGCUGCCAUAUGUAGUUGUAAGCUACUUGCUUUAAAAACAUCACUAUGGUUUGCUUUUGUGCUUGCAAAAUGAUUAUUAUGCAAGCAUGUACUUGCUGUCUGAGCCUAUAUUCUUUGUUUGUGUGCUACAGUACAUAUCAUUUACCAAAGUUAUUAGCUCAUGGCAUUUGAACCAUCUUAUCUAUUCAGGUUGGCAUCAUCACUGGAAGAUGUUUCUACAUGAUGUUUCUUCUCUUCGUAUUAACAUCUUAAAAGCAUUACAAAUUCGUAACUCUUCUGCUGGAGACAUGUGGCCAUCUUCGAAUAAUGCAGUUUCAUUGGAUGGUGUGAGUUUGGUAUUCAGAUGAAUAUGUUAAUUCCAUCAAAGAAACAGCUUGAACAGAAAUGUACAAAAGAGUAAUCACGCAACUUGUAUUCGUGGACAUGGCUACAGCUAUGCACUAAAGUUAAACCAUUUGUGUAGCUUCAGUCUAAGGACACAAAAUCUUAUCGUCUUAUGUAAAUUUUGUUAACCGUUGUAGCUAGAUGCUACUAAACACAUGUACGGAAAUAAGCUUAUUUGUACUGAACUUUUAGUUUGUGAAUGUUUAUGAAAGUUUAAGGUUUUGGGUGAGGUAUAUAUGGAACUUUGAUUGAAGUGUAUAAUUUGAGUGUUCUUUCUUGGUUUCCUGACAUAGUGAAUGGAUAUUGAAUGCU